CGUCCGUCGCUUCUAUCAAUUGAAUAGUUUGGUGAAGUGUUCGGAUUGCGACGACGUGGGUGAUUCGCUAUCCGCAACAUUGUGAGAAGUCCAUUGAACCUUCUUAUUUAGAAGAAGAAAUCGUAACAA
RNAcentral lists this non-coding RNA (129 nucleotides) under Cicer arietinum (chickpea). Lineage: Eukaryota; Viridiplantae; Streptophyta; Magnoliopsida; Fabales; Fabaceae. The record is from Rfam by way of RNAcentral.